AAAUUUUCCAAAGUACUUACAUCAAUUACACCUUUCCCAGUAGUGUGGAGGUUUCUCCUUUUUCCACAUCCUUACAGCAGUGAGGACAAGCAGAGGUUAUUUGUGUCAGCAUGUUGGUUUUGAUGAGUUUUACCUGGCUUAUUCACUGCAACCUAUUUUAUCCCCAAGGUCUUCAUGACCUGUAUCUUUUGCAACCUCCUAUCUCAUCCUGUGACUUAGAAUGCUGUAACCAUCUGGGAAUGCAGCACAGUAGGUCUCAGCUUCAUUUUACCCAGGCCCUAUUCAAGAUGGAGUUGCUCUGGUUCAAAUGCAUCUGACAUUUUCCCCAUCCCUUUUAUAAGAGAA
Molecule: long non-coding RNA, 345 nt
Filed under: Pan troglodytes (chimpanzee)
Lineage: Eukaryota; Metazoa; Chordata; Mammalia; Primates; Hominidae
Description: long non-coding RNA NONPTRT015736
Source: RNAcentral